Long non-coding RNA from Acinonyx jubatus (cheetah), 1829 nucleotides. RefSeq lists it as uncharacterized. The record is from RefSeq and is a predicted model, not a curated record. Lineage: Eukaryota; Metazoa; Chordata; Mammalia; Carnivora; Felidae. The transcript is spliced from 4 exons.
CAACCCAAUUCAAUGAAAUCACACCCUUUAAAUAAUGUUUUGUUUAUUUCUGCUCCUGCUGACUACAGACAGUUGGUGACUGUUUUUCCUUGACUGAAACGGAAAGGCUGAAGCUGAUGAACUGAACAUUUCCCAGGCUGCAAUUCAGUUUUUGAUGUCUGCAGGCCAAAAACAUGCCUUUUCCUCUGAAAUCCAGACUGAGCCUAUACUAGUCCAUUUUGACCUUUAGAUUCCUUAUCAGUCACCUUUGGUCUCUGACAGUGGUUGGACAGGCCAAUCAACAGAGGUCCACUCUCCAUGAACAAAGGCUGGUUAUGUAAAAGAGGUGAGCUGUGGGCAGAGAUACGAUCUGAAGAGAAGGUGCUGAACUCAUCCUCUGUGUUCCAGCAGCAUGUCCAGGACUGCUGUCACUACAAAAAGUGAAACUUCACCCAAAAACAUUUUCUCUGCUGGUGAUUUAAACCCACACCUUCAUUAAGGAAGCAGCUGGAUUUCAGAGAGAGGCAGGCAACCACCAAUACUGAAACCAGCAUGCAACUGUGCACUGAGUUCAACGUGGGACCGGCACCCAUGGACCCUGAGAUCAUGACCUGAGCUGAAGCCGGAUGCUUCAUUGACUGAAACACCCAGGCGCCCCAUCAAGGAGUGCUAUGAAAAUGAAUUGCCUAAACUGCUGGUGGCAGUGAGACUGGUAUAUUUCUGGAGCUCCACCAUGAAUCAACACAAAGAAAAAACCUGAAACUCAAAUGAGCUUAAUUUGAUUUGGUAGGAGAGCAAACCAUCAAUUAAAAUAAUAAAUUAUGUGUAACAUUAUAAAUCACAUGCUAUUUUAGGACUUUUAAUAAGAGAUAGUGGAAAGUUUCUGUUGUUGGACAUUAAAAAAAGUUUUUCAGGGUUGACCUGGGAGGGAGAAAGAAACAUUCCCUAAGUAUCCAAAAGUCUGGAAAAACCUCAGUAGCUGACUCUCCUGAAGCCACUCCGGAGUGAGUGCUAACACUCUACGAAGACCAAACUGCUGCUACACAAAGUAACCCUCGCCUUAACUGUGAGGCGAGAUUAACCACAAGCUUCGGCACACAGUUCUCAGAAAUAGCUCAACCACAAUGGAAGGGAAGGACGACAACUCCAGAGACUUCAAAAAAACAGCGACGAUUUAAGAUGCGUUGAAUCUUGUACUUUCGUGAAUGAAGGUGUGCAUGCAGGCUUGGAUUUUGAGUACGUACUGGUACAAGGGGGAGAUUAAAGGAAAAACAGCCAAAUUACCGAAAUCCAAUUUUCUUAAAUAAUUCCAGACUACAUACAGCCAGCGGGAGCGAAGAAUGGACAGCCUUCUUUUGUGUGAACGGCUUUCGAAAAGAAACCUAUAGUCACACGCAAAUUUAUUUGAAACAGCAACCCCAAAACAACAAACACGGGAGCUUGAUCUCCAGCAGGACCCGCGAGGGAGUCCAAGCGUUUCCGGGCGACGGUUCAGAAGCUACAGACCGCCCUUCACCCAGAGCCUCCCGGCUCGGCUGUCACUCGGUCACCAUAGACAGCUUCCAAGGGAGGACUGCACUUUCAGCUUCCCUCAAAGUUUACCAGAAAUUCUCGCAAAGGGUUCUUUAAUCCGCCCAACCCCCAGGGACACUUUCUGUCUCCAAGAACUGCUCCACAGCUUCACCCCACUAUAUCCCCGGUCACUUCGAGACCUCCAAGCACGCAGGGCGCGAUUUCGCCCUCGCUUGCUUGCUUGCUCCCCAGGAUGCUGGGGAAAGCGGCUCCGGAAAAGCAAACUUUCCGAGCUUUCGCGGAGGGCGGGAGGGCGCGCCGCGAACUCACAGCUGGUU